GAGUUUGAUCUUGGCUCAGAUUGAACGCUGGCGGCAGGCCUAACACAUGCAAGUCGAGCGGUAGAGAGAAGCUUGCUUCUCUUGAGAGCGGCGGACGGGUGAGUAAUGCCUAGGAAUCUGCCUGGUAGUGGGGGAUAACGCUCGGAAACGGACGCUAAUACCGCAUACGUCCUACGGGAGAAAGCAGGGGACCUUCGGGCCUUGCGCUAUCAGAUGAGCCUAGGUCGGAUUAGCUAGUUGGUGAGGUAAUGGCUCACCAAGGCGACGAUCCGUAACUGGUCUGAGAGGAUGAUCAGUCACACUGGAACUGAGACACGGUCCAGACUCCUACGGAGGCAGCAGUGGGGAAUAUUGGACAAUGGGCGAAAGACCUGAUCCAGCCAUGCCGCGUGUGUGAAGAAGGUCUUCGGAUUGUAAAGC
This 420-nucleotide ribosomal RNA is filed under the name uncultured bacterium. RNAcentral's name for it is "bacterial SSU rRNA". It matches the Rfam family "Bacterial small subunit ribosomal RNA", at positions 9 to 431 of the family's 1533-position model. The record is from RNAcentral.